ACUCCUACGGGAGGCAGCAGUGGGGAAUAUUGCGCAAUGGACGAAAGUCUGACGCAGCGACGCCGCGUGGAGGAUGAAGGUUUCGGAUCGUAAACUCCUGUCAAGAGGGAAGAAACCUAUUAUGAAUAAUACUCAUAGUAAUUGACGGUACCUCUAGAGGAAGCACCGGCUAAUUCAGUGCCAGCAGCCGCGGUAAUACUGAAGGUGCAAGCGUUAAUCGGAAUCACUGGGCGUAAAGCGCUCGUAGGUGGCUUUGUAAGUCAGGUGUGAAAGCCCACGGCUCAACCGUGGAAUUGCACUUGAUACUGCAUCGCUAGAGUAUAGGAGAGGGAAGUGGAAUUUCUGGUGUAGGAGUGAAAUCCGUAGAGAUCAGAAGGAACACCCGUGGCGAAGGCGACUUCCUGGACUAUUACUGACACUGAGGAGCGAAAGCGUGGGAGCAAACAGGAUUAGAUACCCCGUGGUAGACUGUCA
RNAcentral lists this ribosomal RNA (474 nucleotides) under uncultured bacterium. RNAcentral describes it as "bacterial SSU rRNA". It matches the Rfam family "Bacterial small subunit ribosomal RNA", at positions 335 to 802 of the family's 1533-position model. The record is from RNAcentral.